RNAcentral lists this ribosomal RNA (239 nucleotides) under uncultured bacterium. RNAcentral describes it as "partial 16S ribosomal RNA". It matches the Rfam family "Bacterial small subunit ribosomal RNA", at positions 15 to 244 of the family's 1533-position model. The record is from RNAcentral.
GAUCCUGGCUCAGGACGAACGCUGGCGGCGUGCCUAAUACAUGCAAGUAGAACGCUGAAGANAGGAGCUUGCUCUUCUUGGGUGAGUUGCGAACGGGUGAGUAACGCGUAGGUAACCUGCCUUGUAGCGGGGGAUAACUAUUGGAAACGAUAGCUAAUACCGCAUAACAAUGAAUGACUCAUGUCAUUUAUUUGAAAGGGGCAAUUGCUCCACUACAAGAUGGACCUGCGUUCCAUUAG